AACACUGUUAACCUGCGGUACCUGCGGAGGGAUCAUUGCUGGAACGCGCUUCGGCGCACCCAGAAACCCUUUGUGAACUUAUACCUAUUUGUUGCCUCGGCGUAGGCCGGCCUCUUCAUUGAGGCCCCCUGGAAACAGGGAGCAGCCCGCCGGCGGCCAACUAAACUCUUGUUUCUGUAGUGAAUCUCUGAGUAAAAACAUAAAUGAAUCAAAACUUUCAACAAUGGAUCUCAGAUCGGA
RNAcentral lists this unclassified non-coding RNA (240 nucleotides) under soil metagenome. RNAcentral describes it as "partial contains 5.8S ribosomal RNA, internal transcribed spacer 2, and large subunit ribosomal RNA". The record is from RNAcentral.